Long non-coding RNA from Hyla sarda, 758 nucleotides. RefSeq lists it as uncharacterized. The record is from RefSeq and is a predicted model, not a curated record. NCBI's taxonomy places the organism in Eukaryota, Metazoa, Chordata, Amphibia, Anura, Hylidae. The transcript has 3 exons.
GUUGGUCGAAAAUACUCAUAUUCUUCAAUUUAACCAGUAGAGACUCUAUUGAAAUCUCCGGGGGAUCCUCAUACAAGUCGAAGUGGUAUUUCCGCAUCCCAGGGAUAUAUAAGAUGCUGUAUGUGGAUAACGCUGACCUGUUCUGACUACAAACGCCUCUCAGCACUCGGGAGGAGGUUAUCAAGAAGCAGUGGUGUCCUCAUCGGUCGUCUUCCAUUAGGUCUACUUUGGCUCAAACAGUGACGGAUGGUGUGAACUAACACUGAUGGACCUUGACCUUGGAAGUUCACCUGUAAUAUCUUUGGGCUCUUUGGUCACCAUUCAUAUUAUCCAUCUCUUUUUCUCUUGCAGCCACGUCCAGGGAGGUUGGCUACAGUCCUGUUGACCUUAAACUUCUACAUAAUAUGUGCAACUGUAGUCACAGGAACAUCAAGCUGCUUGGAGAUGGUCUUAUAGCCUUUACCUUAAACAUGCUUGUCUAUUAUUUUCUUUCUAAUCUCCUGAGACAACUCCCUCUUUAGCUUUCUGUGGUCCAUGUUCAAUGUGGUACACACCAUAAUAACAAACAGGACAGUGCCUACUUUUCACCCUAUAAAUAGACGACUGGCUGAUUACAAGUUUUAAGACACCUGUGACGCUACAUGCAGGACACACCUUUAAUUUAUCAUGUCCCUAUUGACAAAUAAUUCCUAUCGUUUCUAGGGGACCAUCAUUUUUGUCCAGACCAGUUUAAUUUCUUUUUCAUUUUUUUUUUUUUG